UUCUAAUUCUACAUCUGUUCUUCAAUAUCCAUUCUUUAUUUCAUUGAAUUUGAUUUGUGGUAGUAUUGUUUUUUUAAUUUGUAAUUGGGUAUGAAUUAUUUUUAUUAUUAGUGGAAUAGUUUUCUGGCACCACUCACAACAAUGGAACCGUUAGAGCUGCCACUGCGCCGAUUCCACAGCACAACAUAUCUUUAAUUUAUUCUAUAAUUGUAUAAUUCGUAUUUUUUGUUGUUGGUUUUUUUUUUAAUUUUUUUUCUGGGUUAUUACUUUUGAGUUAAUGUUUUUUUAAAUUAAUUAAUUGUUUAUAUAUAUUUUUUAAUUAUUCUGCUGAAAGAAUCUGAUGGGAAAUUUGAAAUCCUGGUUUUUUAUACCAGGGUAAGGAAACUAAAAAAACGAGUAGGAAAAUAAACCCAUGAAUCUAAUUAUUGAAGCUAUUUGAAAUGUAUUUGAACUACAUUAAUAUGUUGUUGGAUAAUGAAUGAAGUUGACUCUUGUAAACUAAGCUGAAAGUGCAAGUAUUAGACAAGAUGAAGUAGUGAGAACUUCUAUCUUAAUGUCCAAUAUAGUGUCUUAACAUUUCAAAUGAUCUGUUGAGGUCCUUAAAUGACAUGCAUCUUCCAAAACAUUAGAAAUUUAUCAUGGGUGGCAGUUUCAUAGGUAGCUCCACCUAUCUUGCUCGUUGAGCUUUUCAAGUUGGCUCUUGUAAACCGAGCUGAAAGUGUAAGUAACAAUUGAAGAUCUUGUAAUUAACGUAUUCUAAGUGUUGCGAGUACUACUUAUUUGUAGCUAAGAUCUUGUAAUUAAAAUAAUUGAAGUUUGCUUUGUUAGCUAAGUUGCUUUAUUUGUAUAGCUAUUCGUCUUGGUGACCAUUCAUAAGACUCAUGAAAAAAUUAUCGUGUUUAUGCUCUUGAACAAUACAAAUCUUGAGAACAUAAGAUUCCUUUAACACUCUUUUUACUUUCAAGUGAAAGAGAUAUAUCGUGGGCUCAUGGUAUAGUAGAUAACAAAAAAUUACUUAUGUUUGAUUGUGAAGUAUAUUAGUGUGGAAUGCUUUGUAUGGACACAUGACAUUGUUUGACCAACUAAUGGCUUCUUGCUUUUGAUCAAUAAUAGGAACCAUUUGAGAUAAAUCAAGAGUCGACAAUUGUUAAAUCUUGAUUGUUUAGCAUUGUGCUGAAGGUCGUUGUAUUAAAUUUUACUUGAUGUGGACUCAGAUAUAUAAAUGAAUGUGUGAAUAAAUAAUACGCUUGUAUGUGUGAAGGUUUUGGUGAAUCCCGGAAUGAAAUGGUAAGGGAUAGCUGCUUCUGACCCUGUUACACCUUUGUUUUGAUCUGCUAACGGCUAACCCAAUAGUUGAUUUGGCCUGAGUGGGAAGAGAAAUUCUCAUUUGCAUGUCCAUUGAAGUCUGGAAAAUCUAAACAUAUCAUAGAUAAGUCAGAUAGCUAGUGGGGAUAAUUAGAGGUAGGAACUUAUUGAGUGAACUGUAUCAUCUUUUAGUAGUUUGUAGGUGACAGGGGAUAGGAAACCUUGAACCCAAGUUCUACAAUGACUAUUGAGUGUGAUGGUGUGGUUGCUGAAGUUGUACAUUUCCUGGACCUUUUAUUCUAAUAUUUAAGGGUUCAAGAAACUACAGGUUUAUAUGGGAUUGGGUUGAUUGGUUGUUAUAUGAUUUCUCAUGAAAAAAUAUUACUCAUUUUUUAGAAACUAUGCUACUUCUUAACACAUGACCCUUUUCAUCUCAUCAGAGGCCGCAAAUAUUCUCAUCUGCUUUCCAGUCUCUUUCACUCUUACUUUUUCUCAAGGAGUCACUCUUGUCGCAAUUCAAUGGAAUAUAUUGUGAUUUAAUUAUUGAUUUUCUUCAAUUGAACGUAAGCAAUCACAAAGCUCGUGAAUUUGGGUGGUUAGUACAUUCCAAUGGCGGCUAGAAGUGGGAGAAAGCUUUUAAGCAAGCUUGAUGUUAUUUUUUCAAGGUAAUUCUGCAGGCUGGUCAGUGUUCAGUGAAGCAGGACAGGGAAGCAGGCAAGGGAAGUGUUAGAGUUCCGGUGCUGCAGUGUUUUAUGGUGUCAAUUCUGGUCAUAGUUGACCAGCGUUGACUUUGUAGUUCUUAAGUUUUCUUUUCUUAGUUGAGCCUGUUUUUGCUCGGCUUUUGUUUUGUUUUGUUUUGUAGGAGUCUAGUUUUUUUUUUUUUUUUUUGUAGGAGUCUAGUUUUUUUGUUUUGUUUUGUUGGUUGAAGUGGUAAAUCCCUCCCCACAUGUGUACAUACAUUUUUGUGGUUAUAAGGUAGUGCUUUGUUGUAAAAAAGGUAAUGAGCACUACUUUGUAACAUUUGUAGUUAUGUCCUAUAAUAUUUUGGACAAUGUACAUGGCUGAAGUAUAUAUGAAUGGAGCAUUCUUUCUCUUA
Spinacia oleracea (spinach) is the source of this 2401-nucleotide long non-coding RNA. RefSeq lists it as uncharacterized. Lineage: Eukaryota; Viridiplantae; Streptophyta; Magnoliopsida; Caryophyllales; Amaranthaceae. The record is from RefSeq and is a predicted model, not a curated record. The transcript is spliced from 3 exons.